This 115-nucleotide ribosomal RNA is filed under the name Heterocephalus glaber (naked mole-rat). Lineage: Eukaryota; Metazoa; Chordata; Mammalia; Rodentia; Bathyergidae. The record is from RNAcentral.
UUCUAAGGCGAUACCACCCUGAACACACCCGAUCUCGUCUGAUCUUGGAACUAAGCAGGGUCGGGGCUGGUUAGUACUUGGAUGGGAGAAUACAUAAUAGCUUUUUCUUUGGGGC